Sesamum indicum (sesame) is the source of this 866-nucleotide non-coding RNA. NCBI's taxonomy places the organism in Eukaryota, Viridiplantae, Streptophyta, Magnoliopsida, Lamiales, Pedaliaceae. The record is from RefSeq and is a predicted model, not a curated record.
AAAGCAAUAUAUUCAAAAAAAAAAAAGAAGCAAAAGAAACAAAAAAAAACAGUAUCCAAAAGAGAAAAGGAAAAGGAUAAAAAGCAACAUCCACUCGCCAACUUGGAGCCGUUGCUCUUGAUGCACAUAGAAUUGAGUGCUCGGAAAACAAUUUUUGCUGCUGGCAAGAUGAAGACACAACCGCUACUUCGUGCAAGGCAUGUGAAGACAAAGCCUGUACAAUAGAUUCUGUGAGUCAAAUCCUGAGUCGACAAGAUAAAGAUGGAUGGUAUACACAAUAGAAAAAGAAGGCAUAUGAAACAAUGAAACCAAAGAGAAUACGAGAGGAAGAGAUACUUCGUCUAAUGGAAGAAAAGAAACAACUGAAAAAAGUAAGUCAUUACUCAAAAACUACAUAUGAAUAUGUUUAUAUGUGGAUGUGCUUGCAUGUUUUUCAUUUAUCUAACACAUUAUUUAAUCUACUUGAUUCUUCUAAAAUAGCAAGAGAAGCUGUUUACAGCUGCUUCAAAAGCUGAAGGUGCUGAGAUGAAAAAAUAUAAGAUGGAGAUGCAGAAGUGGGAAACGGGGAAAUAUACUCUAAAAUCCAUUGUAGGUGAAAUUGACAAAAACGUGGUUGAAUUAGGAUCAAUUGGAGGUAGGAUCUUUCGUUAUUUGUGUUUCUUUGUUUCUUCCUCCUUUGGAAUCCACUCACCGCGUUCAAGGCGCCUAAGCUAUUUUUUCGCUUUUGUAGCUUAGGACAUUUGGUCACAAGGUUUGCAGAAAAAGGGGUUACAUAUUGCACGACGUCAAGCCCCAUGGAAAGAACUAUUGUAUGGACUACGGUAGUUCCUAAAGAAACUUAUGUGAUUUCUGAAGAUGUCUUCUUC